AUUGAACGCUGGCGGCAGGCCUAACACAUGCAAGUCGAACGGUAACAGGAAACAGCUUGCUGGUGGUGGAUUAGUGGCGAACGGGUGAGUAACACGUGAGUAACCUGUCCUUCACUCUGGGAUAAGCCCUGGAAACGGGGUCUAAUACUAGAUAUUCUCAAUGUGCCGCAUGGUGUGUUGUGGAAAGAUUUUUUGGUGAGGGUUGGACUCGCGGCCUAUCAGCUUGUUGGUGGGGUAGUGGCCUACCAAGGCUUUGACGGGUAGCCGGCCUGAGAGGGUGACCGGCCACACUGGGACUGAGACACGGCCCAGACUCCUACGGGAGGCAGCAGUGGGGAAUAUUGCACAAUGGGCGCAAGCCUGAUGCAGCGACGCCGCGUGGGGGAUGAAGGCCUUCGGGUUGUAAACUCCUUUCGCCAUUGACGAAGCCCUUUGGGGUGACGGUAGGUGGAGAAGAAGCACCGGCUAACUACGUGCCAGCCGCCGCUGUAAGAC
RNAcentral lists this ribosomal RNA (495 nucleotides) under uncultured bacterium. RNAcentral's name for it is "bacterial SSU rRNA". It matches the Rfam family "Bacterial small subunit ribosomal RNA", at positions 30 to 526 of the family's 1533-position model. The record is from RNAcentral.